AGUGGGAAAUUGCCAAUGGGCGCAAGCCUGAUGCAGCAACGCCGCGUGAGGGAUGAAGGCCUUCGGGUUGUAAACCUCUUUUAGCAGGGAAGAAGCGAAAGUGACGGUACCUGCAGAAAAAGCACCGGCUAACUACGUGCCAGCAGCCGCGGUAAUA
This 157-nucleotide ribosomal RNA is filed under the name uncultured Actinomycetes bacterium. RNAcentral's name for it is "uncultured actinobacterium partial 16S ribosomal RNA". It matches the Rfam family "Bacterial small subunit ribosomal RNA", at positions 355 to 525 of the family's 1533-position model. The record is from RNAcentral. Lineage: Bacteria; Bacillati; Actinomycetota; Actinomycetes.